ACUCCUACGGGAGGCAGCAGUAGGGAAUCUUGCACAAUGGGCGAAAGCCUGAUGCAGCGACGCCGCGUGGGGGAUGAAGGCCUUCGGGUUGUAAACCCCUUUCAGUAGGGACGAAAAUGACGGUACCUACAGAAGAAGNCCGGCUAACUAC
This 151-nucleotide ribosomal RNA is filed under the name uncultured Actinomycetes bacterium. RNAcentral describes it as "uncultured actinobacterium partial 16S ribosomal RNA". It matches the Rfam family "Bacterial small subunit ribosomal RNA", at positions 335 to 504 of the family's 1533-position model. Lineage: Bacteria; Bacillati; Actinomycetota; Actinomycetes. The record is from RNAcentral.